CCUACGGGAGGCUGCAGUGAGGAAUAUUGGUCAAUGGCCGGAAGGCUGAACCAGCCAAGCCGCGUGAAGGACGAAGGUGCCAAGCAUUGUAAACUUCUUUUGUCAAGGGACAACAUCAGGCUCGAGAGCCUGACCGAGUGUACUUUAAGAAAAAGCAUCGGCUAACUCCGUGCCAGCAGCCGCGGUAAUACGGAGGAUGCGAGCGUUAUCCGGAUUUAUUGGGUUUAAAGGGUGCGUAGGCGGGCUGUUAAGUCGGCGGUAAAAGCCCGGGGCUCAACCCCGGCGAGCCGGUGAAACUGGCGGUCUUGAGAGGGCGAGAGGUAGGCGGAAUGCGCAGUGUAGCGGUGAAAUGCUUAGAUAUUGCGCAGAACUCCGAUUGCGAAGGCAGCAUACCGGAGGCGAUCUGACGCUGAGGCACGAAAGCGUGGGUAUCGAACAGGAUUAGAUACCCGGGUAGUC
This 459-nucleotide ribosomal RNA is filed under the name uncultured bacterium. RNAcentral's name for it is "partial 16S ribosomal RNA". It matches the Rfam family "Bacterial small subunit ribosomal RNA", at positions 338 to 795 of the family's 1533-position model. The record is from RNAcentral.